GUGGUUGUUCGGUUGAAAGUGGACAGUGUACUGUUGUCCAUGACACCACAGACGGGGAUACUGGUGCUCACCGACAGGACCUAGUCUGUUAUUGGGCUCCCUGUGUGAUGGUUCCAGACAAA
This is a non-coding RNA of Coregonus clupeaformis (lake whitefish), 122 nucleotides long. Lineage: Eukaryota; Metazoa; Chordata; Actinopteri; Salmoniformes; Salmonidae. The record is from RefSeq and is a predicted model, not a curated record.